GGUGCAAAAGAGAGUGUCUAAUUAUGGGUGCAAGGGCUCCAAUAGUUGGCGCCUAAUGGGCUUUCUAAUGUAAGUUGGAUAACUUAAGUUAAUAGAAAUCCUAAUGUAAGUAGGAUUUGUAUUAUGAGAUUGAAUAGGAUUCAAUCCUUAUGCUUAUUUAAAGGGACCUCCCCUAAGGUCUCUAAAGCAUCAAAACCAGCAGAUCCUCAC
Molecule: long non-coding RNA, 210 nt
Filed under: Elaeis guineensis (African oil palm)
Lineage: Eukaryota; Viridiplantae; Streptophyta; Magnoliopsida; Arecales; Arecaceae
Description: long non-coding RNA (EGUI_LNC069013)
Source: RNAcentral